This 302-nucleotide ribosomal RNA is filed under the name uncultured bacterium. Its description in RNAcentral is "partial 16S ribosomal RNA". It matches the Rfam family "Bacterial small subunit ribosomal RNA", at positions 508 to 807 of the family's 1533-position model. The record is from RNAcentral.
GCAGUCGCCGCGGUAAUACAGAGGGUGCGAGCGUUAAUCGGAUUUACUGGGCGUAAAGCGUGCGUAGGCGGCUUCUUAAGUCGGAUGUGAAAUCCCUGAGCUUAACUUAGGAAUUGCAUUCGAUACUGGGAAGCUAGAGUAUGGGAGAGGAUGGUAGAAUUCCAGGUGUAGCGGUGAAAUGCGUAGAGAUCUGGAGGAAUACCGAUGGCGAAGGCAGCCAUCUGGCCUAAUACUGACGCUGAGGUACGAAAGCAUGGGGAGCAAACAGGAUUAGAUACCCCGGUAGUCCCUGACUCUUAUAC